RNAcentral lists this ribosomal RNA (759 nucleotides) under archaeon LL25A6. RNAcentral's name for it is "bacterial SSU rRNA". It matches the Rfam family "Archaeal small subunit ribosomal RNA", at positions 102 to 859 of the family's 1478-position model. The record is from RNAcentral.
GGAUAACCUGCCCUUGGGUCCGGCAUAACCCCGGGAAACUGGGGAUAAUUCCGGAUAACGCAUAUAUGCUGGAAUGCUUUAUGCGUAAAAUGGAUUCGUCUGCCCAAGGAUGGGUCUGCGGCCUAUCAGGUAGUAGUGGGUGUAAUGUACCUACUAGCCAACAACGGGUACGGGUUGUGAGAGCAAGAGCCCGGAGAUGGAUUCUGAGACAUGAAUCCAGGCCCUACGGGGCGCAGCAGGCGCGAAAACUUUACAAUGCGGGAAACCGUGAUAAGGGGACACCGAGUGCCAGCAUCAUAUGCUGGCUGUCCGGGUGUGUAAAAUACACCUGUUAGCAAGGGCCGGGCAAGACCGGUGCCAGCCGCCGCGGUAACACCGGCGGCCCGAGUGGUGAUCGUGAUUAUUGGGUCUAAAGGGUCCGUAGCCGGUUUGGUCAGUCCUCCGGGAAAUCUGAUGGCUCAACCAUUAGGCUUUCGGGGGAUACUGCCAGGCUUGGAACCGGGAGAGGUAAGAGGUACUACAGGGGUAGGAGUGAAAUCUUGUAAUCCCUGUGGGACCACCUGUGGCGAAGGCGUCUUACCAGAACGGGUUCGACGGUGAGGGACGAAAGCUGGGGGCACGAACCGGAUUAGAUACCCGGGUAGUCCCAGCCGUAAACGAUGCUCGCUAGGUGUCAGGCAUGGCGCGACCGUGUCUGGUGCCGCAGGGAAGCCGUGAAGCGAGCCACCUGGGAAGUACGGCCGCAAGGCUGAAACUUAA